Molecule: transfer RNA, 76 nt
Filed under: Candidatus Thiodiazotropha sp.
Lineage: Bacteria; Pseudomonadati; Pseudomonadota; Gammaproteobacteria; Chromatiales; Sedimenticolaceae
Description: tRNA-Ala
Rfam family: tRNA
About the family: Transfer RNA (tRNA) molecules are approximately 80 nucleotides in length. Their secondary structure includes four short double-helical elements and three loops (D, anti-codon, and T loops).
Source: RNAcentral
GGGGCCAUAGCUCAGUUGGGAGAGCGCCUGCCUUGCAAGCAGGAGGUCGGGAGUUCAACCCUCCCUGGCUCCACCA